Molecule: ribosomal RNA, 159 nt
Filed under: Labracinus cyclophthalmus (fire-tail devil)
Lineage: Eukaryota; Metazoa; Chordata; Actinopteri; Pseudochromidae
Description: partial 12S ribosomal RNA
Source: RNAcentral
UACGAGUAGGCCCAGUCGACAGGAUACGGCGUAGAGGGUGGUUAGGAAAAAAUAAAAAACUAAAGUCGAAAGUCUUCAGUCUGUAAUACGUUCCCGAAGAUGUGAAGCCCCACCACGAAAGUGACUUUAACCUAUUCUGAAUCCACGAAAGCUGAGGCA